GGGUGCUGUAUUAGUGAAGGAGGAGGUUUUAUUGAGGAAGGGGGUGCUGUAUUAGUGAAGGAGGAGGUUUUGUUGAGGAAGGGGGUGCUGUAUUAGCGAAGGAGGAGGUUUUGUUGAGGAAGGGGGUGCUGUAUUAGCGAAGGAGGAGGGUUUGUUGAUGAAGGGGUGCUGUAUUAGUAAAGGAGGAGGUUUUGUUGAGGAAGGGGGUGCUGUAUUAUUGAAGGAGGAGGGUUUGUUGAGGAAUGGGGUGCUGUAUUAGUGAAGGAGGAGGUUUUGUUGAGGAAUGGGGUGCUGUAUUAGUGAAGGAGGAGGUUUUAUUGAGGAAGGGGGUGCUGUAUUAGUGAAGGAGGAGGUUUUGUUGAUGAAGGGGGUGCUGUAUUAGUGAAGGAGGAGGUUUUAUU
RNAcentral lists this long non-coding RNA (401 nucleotides) under Pelobates cultripes (western spadefoot toad). Lineage: Eukaryota; Metazoa; Chordata; Amphibia; Anura; Pelobatidae. The record is from RNAcentral.